AAACCGUGUUGUGGGCAUAAACUGAUAAGAUCUUUAAACCGCACCCAACAUUGAAAGAAUGUUUCAUCUUCCUUAUGAGUGAAGUUCAUGAUUGACUUUUUAAGGGU
This is a small nucleolar RNA of Magnolia sinica, 107 nucleotides long. NCBI's taxonomy places the organism in Eukaryota, Viridiplantae, Streptophyta, Magnoliopsida, Magnoliales, Magnoliaceae. The record is from RefSeq and is a predicted model, not a curated record.